This 69-nucleotide transfer RNA is filed under the name Lophiomus setigerus (blackmouth angler). RNAcentral describes it as "tRNA-Gly". It matches the Rfam family "tRNA". Rfam says of the family: Transfer RNA (tRNA) molecules are approximately 80 nucleotides in length. Their secondary structure includes four short double-helical elements and three loops (D, anti-codon, and T loops). Further hydrogen bonds mediate the characteristic L-shaped molecular structure. tRNAs have two regions of fundamental functional importance: the anti-codon, which is responsible for specific mRNA codon recognition, and the 3' end, to which the tRNAs corresponding amino acid is attached (by aminoacyl-tRNA synthetases). tRNAs cope with the degeneracy of the genetic code in two manners: having more than one tRNA (with a specific anti-codon) for a particular amino acid; and 'wobble' base-pairing, i.e. permitting non-standard base-pairing at the 3rd anti-codon position. Lineage: Eukaryota; Metazoa; Chordata; Actinopteri; Lophiiformes; Lophiidae. The record is from RNAcentral.
AUCUUUCUAGUAUUAUUAGUACGUGUGACUUCCAAUCACCUGGACUUGGUUCAACCCCAAGGAAAGAUA